Molecule: long non-coding RNA, 241 nt
Organism: Malaclemys terrapin pileata
Lineage: Eukaryota; Metazoa; Chordata; Testudines; Emydidae
Exons: 3
Source: RefSeq, a predicted model, not a curated record
GGAGGGGACGGAGCCGCGCGGAACCCGAGAUGUCUCCGGAUUUGCCCGCACGAGCCGCGCACAGUGGAUUUCUAGGCUCCCCGAUGAUCACCCGGUUCUGGGGUAGCCUGGGUCUUUGGCCUGCAGCACCAGGACAGCGACGAAGCUGGGCUCCUGCCCACAGACUUCUGGGUCCCACACUCCUCUCAGGAAGGCUGUGGACCCUGCUUCCCGCUCCCUCCCUGCCCCCUGAGGAUGACCA